RNAcentral lists this ribosomal RNA (1420 nucleotides) under Staphylococcus pseudoxylosus. RNAcentral describes it as "bacterial SSU rRNA". It matches the Rfam family "Bacterial small subunit ribosomal RNA". Lineage: Bacteria; Bacillati; Bacillota; Bacilli; Caryophanales; Staphylococcaceae. The record is from RNAcentral.
AUGCAAGUCGAGCGAACAGAUAAGGAGCUUGCUCCUUUGACGUUAGCGGCGGACGGGUGAGUAACACGUGGGUAACCUACCUAUAAGACUGGGAUAACUUCGGGAAACCGGAGCUAAUACCGGAUAACAUUUGGAACCGCAUGGUUCUAAAGUGAAAGAUGGUUUUGCUAUCACUUAUAGAUGGACCCGCGCCGUAUUAGCUAGUUGGUAAGGUAACGGCUUACCAAGGCAACGAUACGUAGCCGACCUGAGAGGGUGAUCGGCCACACUGGAACUGAGACACGGUCCAGACUCCUACGGGAGGCAGCAGUAGGGAAUCUUCCGCAAUGGGCGAAAGCCUGACGGAGCAACGCCGCGUGAGUGAUGAAGGGUUUCGGCUCGUAAAACUCUGUUAUUAGGGAAGAACAAAUGUGUAAGUAACUGUGCACAUCUUGACGGUACCUAAUCAGAAAGCCACGGCUAACUACGUGCCAGCAGCCGCGGUAAUACGUAGGUGGCAAGCGUUAUCCGGAAUUAUUGGGCGUAAAGCGCGCGUAGGCGGUUUCUUAAGUCUGAUGUGAAAGCCCACGGCUCAACCGUGGAGGGUCAUUGGAAACUGGGAAACUUGAGUGCAGAAGAGGAAAGUGGAAUUCCAUGUGUAGCGGUGAAAUGCGCAGAGAUAUGGAGGAACACCAGUGGCGAAGGCGACUUUCUGGUCUGUAACUGACGCUGAUGUGCGAAAGCGUGGGGAUCAAACAGGAUUAGAUACCCUGGUAGUCCACGCCGUAAACGAUGAGUGCUAAGUGUUAGGGGGUUUCCGCCCCUUAGUGCUGCAGCUAACGCAUUAAGCACUCCGCCUGGGGAGUACGACCGCAAGGUUGAAACUCAAAGGAAUUGACGGGGACCCGCACAAGCGGUGGAGCAUGUGGUUUAAUUCGAAGCAACGCGAAGAACCUUACCAAAUCUUGACAUCCUUUGAAAACUCUAGAGAUAGAGCCUUCCCCUUCGGGGGACAAAGUGACAGGUGGUGCAUGGUUGUCGUCAGCUCGUGUCGUGAGAUGUUGGGUUAAGUCCCGCAACGAGCGCAACCCUUAAGCUUAGUUGCCAUCAUUAAGUUGGGCACUCUAGGUUGACUGCCGGUGACAAACCGGAGGAAGGUGGGGAUGACGUCAAAUCAUCAUGCCCCUUAUGAUUUGGGCUACACACGUGCUACAAUGGACAAUACAAAGGGCAGCUAAACCGCGAGGUCAUGCAAAUCCCAUAAAGUUGUUCUCAGUUCGGAUUGUAGUCUGCAACUCGACUACAUGAAGCUGGAAUCGCUAGUAAUCGUAGAUCAGCAUGCUACGGUGAAUACGUUCCCGGGUCUUGUACACACCGCCCGUCACACCACGAGAGUUUGUAACACCCGAAGCCGGUGGAGUAACCAUUUAUGGAGCUAGCC